CAAUAUCCAAGUAGAACAUUAACUUAAAGAAAAAUUUAUUUCAAUCAUGAACAAAAACUAUAUUUAUAACCAAAGCUUCAUUACGCUUCUUCUGGUUAGCCUCUACAAGAUACUUCUCGCAGUUUCUUUUCCAGUGUUCAGGCUUAUUGUAGUGGAAGCAAACUCCUUUGCUAUCUGUAUCAGUUUGGUUCUUAUUAUCCAUUAUUUUUGUCCUUUCUAUUUACUUUCUUAGAAUCGUUCUUCUUUUCAGAAGAUCCUUUGGCCCCUACCAGUAAGACAUGGUCUUUCUUGGUUGAAAAGUGACUCAACAUUUUUUAACAUGUUAAGCAAAUCAGCGAGGCUGAUAUCUAGUUUGUUCAUAUGAAAAAUUCACAACAAUUAUAAAGAGUCCGGGAGUGAGUGCAAACUCAAAUCUUGGCACAACUCUCCAUCCAUGACAAAACUCGUUGUCCUAAUUGAUCAAUCCAAUUGAUUAUGUUAAGGACUUUUAUCUGUACUAUAGUGUCAUUGGUCAUUCUAGAUCAGAAGAGCUCCUUAGAUAUCUAAUAUGUAUCAGUCCUACUUUCCUCACCAUUAACUACUUGAUGUGCAAGAAUAUAGUAAGAGCGUCCAUAGUUUCAUGCUGAAGUUGAAGCUCGUUACUCAUGGAUGCGAGCAUGAUACAUUGAGCCAACUGUGCAUCAUCUUGCCACUUUCUAAAAGUAGCAGUCUCUUCCUUAGAGUCUUUGUCUACAACCAUUGUAGGGAUAGCGUAUUAAGGACAUAAGAUAGCUUUUCAGCUAUGAGAACUAUUCUCAAAUUUCUUAACCAAUCCGUUUAAUUCAGUCCGAUUAAUUUAGCAUCUAAUAUGCUACGCAGUGAUAGUAAUUUUAGACAUUGUAAAAUUCUGUAAAUGAAUUUGUAAUUAAUAACAUUUUAGCAUAUAUUCUUUUAUCAAUUACCAAAAUAAUUUAGGUCUUGUUUUAAAUUGGUAUCUCUCACUAUUUUUUUCAAACUAUAUUACCCUCAUUUAUAUAGUUCGGCAAAAUCUAAUUAAAGAUUUGCUAGUGAG
This 1051-nucleotide long non-coding RNA is filed under the name Panax ginseng (ginseng). RNAcentral describes it as "long non-coding RNA (PGIN_LNC004325)". The record is from RNAcentral. Lineage: Eukaryota; Viridiplantae; Streptophyta; Magnoliopsida; Apiales; Araliaceae.